Molecule: ribosomal RNA, 484 nt
Filed under: fungal sp. E15601A
Lineage: Eukaryota; Fungi
Description: eukaryotic LSU rRNA
Rfam family: 5.8S ribosomal RNA (bases 150-303)
Source: RNAcentral
ACCGAGUUUACAACUCCCAAACCCCUGUGAACAUACCAACUGUUGCCUCGGCGGAUCAGCCCGCUCCCGGUAAAACGGGACGGCCCGCCAGAGGACCCCUAAACUCUGUUUCUAUAUGUAACUUCUGAGUAAAACCAUAAAUAAAUCAAAACUUUCAACAACGGAUCUCUUGGUUCUGGCAUCGAUGAAGAACGCAGCAAAAUGCGAUAAGUAAUGUGAAUUGCAGAAUUCAGUGAAUCAUCGAAUCUUUGAACGCACAUUGCGCCCGCCAGUAUUCUGGCGGGCAUGCCUGUUCGAGCGUCAUUUCAACCCUCAAGCCCAGCUUGGUGUUGGGACUCGCGAGUCAAAUCGCGUUCCCCAAAUUGAUUGGCGGUCACGUCGAGCUUCCAUAGCGUAGUAGUAAAACCCUCGUUACUGGUAAUCGUCGCGGCCACGCCGUUAAACCCCAACUUCUGAAUGUUGACCUCGGAUCAGGUAGGAAUAC